This 1367-nucleotide ribosomal RNA is filed under the name uncultured Campylobacterota bacterium. RNAcentral describes it as "uncultured Epsilonproteobacteria bacterium partial 16S ribosomal RNA". It matches the Rfam family "Bacterial small subunit ribosomal RNA". Lineage: Bacteria; Pseudomonadati; Campylobacterota. The record is from RNAcentral.
GAAUAGCCCGGAGAAAUCCGGAUUAAUGCCCCAUAGCAUUUUCGAAUUGCAUGAUUUGAAAAUUAAAGGUUACGGUAAGAGAUGGGCAUGCGUCCCAUUAGCUAGAUGGUAAGGUAACGGCUUACCAUGGCAACGAUGGGUAGGGGGCCUGAGAGGGUGAUCCCCCACACUGGUACUGAGACACGGACCAGACUCCUACGGGAGGCAGCAGUGAGGAAUAUUGGACGAUGGACGAAAGUCUGAUCCAGCCAUGCCGCGUGCAGGAAGACUGCCCUAUGGGUUGUAAACUGCUUUUAUUUGGGAAUAAACCCCUCUACGUGUAGAGGGCUGAAGGUACCAAACGAAUAAGCACCGGCUAACUCCGUGCCAGCAGCCGCGGUAAUACGGAGGGUGCAAGCGUUAUCCGGAAUCAUUGGGUUUAAAGGGUCCGCAGGCGGACAUAUAAGUCAGUGGUGAAAGCCUACAGCUUAACUGUAGAACUGCCAUUGAUACUGUAUGUCUUGAAUUCGGUCGAAGUGGGCGGAAUGUGUCAUGUAGCGGUGAAAUGCAUAGAUAUGACACAGAACACCGAUAGCGAAGGCAGCUCACUAGGCCUGAAUUGACGCUCAGGGACGAAAGCGUGGGGAGCGAACAGGAUUAGAUACCCUGGUAGUCCACGCCGUAAACGAUCAUUACUCGAUAUUGGCGAUAUACAGUCAGUGUCUAAGCGAAAGUGAUAAGUAAUGCACCUGGGGGAGUACGAUCGCAAGGUUGAAACUCAAAGGAAUUGACGGGGGCCCGCACAAGCGGUGGAGCAUGUGGUUUAAUUCGAUGAUACGCGAGGAACCUUACCAGGGCUUAAAUGUAGAAAGGAAUGAUGUGGAAACAUGUCAGCCUUCGGGCCUUCUACAAGGUGCUGCAUGGCUGUCGUCAACUCCUGGCCCUGAAGGGGUUGGGGUUAAAUCCCCCCAACCAAGGGCAACCCCUAUCUUUAAGUUGCCACCCAAGAAAUUUCCGGGGACUCUAAAAAAACUGCCUUCCCCAGUAAAAAGAAAAAGCGGGGGACAAAUUCAAUGUAUUCCGGGCCUUUAUUCUCUGGGCGCACACUUUGCUUAUAUGUGGGAAUAAAAGGGGGGCUACCCCCCCAGGGGAUGGGAUUCUCAAAAUGCCUCCCCUUUCCCGGAUAGGAGGUCGGACCCCCACCCCUCAGAACUGAAACCCGAGAAUACCGCCUCCCCCAAGGGGCGGGGGAAAAUGUCCCCGCUUUUGUCACCCCCCCCCCCCCCCCCAAAAAAAGGGGGGUCGUGAUGGUGUCCCCAAAAAGAGCUUCCCGGAAAAAUAAUAAAUGGGGGGGUUUUAAAAAAGGCCGGGGGGAUACCCAAACACGG